This is a long non-coding RNA of Gasterosteus aculeatus aculeatus (three-spined stickleback), 10040 nucleotides long. The record is from Ensembl. Lineage: Eukaryota; Metazoa; Chordata; Actinopteri; Perciformes; Gasterosteidae.
GGCGCAUUCAACGCCGAGACACCGACAUACGGAAGACGACUCAACUCGUGAAAUUUUACAGUCUUUCAUUUUAAAGGGCUGUUUUUUAUUCUGCUCAAAUUUGAUUUUCGCUUCUUUGUUGUCCUUAUUUGCUCUUGUUAUUUUCGUCACUGCCGUAGCGGCGGUGUUUUUUGUCAAGGUUGCUUUUCAACCCCUUGCGAGUGUCAUGUUUUUUUCUAGAUUACAGUUUUCUUCUUUGUUAGAAAUUGCGGCGAUGCUCUGCAGCCACGUCGCACCCAGGUUUUUUUUUAUUUUUUAAUUUAAAACUCUUGCGGGCAUGAGUGUCCAGAAAAAAAAAUGAUGUCAACAAACAUCGGACCAAAAACUUUGAGCCGUGCAAGAUUAAGAGUAAUUUCAGCACAGCACCCACCCCACAAUCCUCGGUCCCUAACGAGUGUGGCCCCCAGCAUCGUAGAGUAUAAACACGGGGAGACCCAGGCCAUGCACAAGAUGCACGUGGGCAAACUAGUGGAGGUUGUGUGUGUGUGUGUGUGUGUGUGUGUGUGUGUGUGUGUGUGUGCGUGUGGGUGUGUGCGUGCGUGUGUGUGCGCGCGCGCGUCUGUUCUUUUGCGGGCGGAGUGUCACUUUUCUGGGAGUAAUUGGACCCCCAAACCGCUUAAAAAUAAAAAAUAAAACCUGUUUCAAAUACACACACAAAAACACACGCAUACACUUUACUUACACACCUGUAAGGUACGUGCAUAUGGCAGGGAUUCCCCAACAAUAGCAUUUUAAUUUAGGGAGAAUCCCAGAUUGGCAGAUGGAGAGGAAUAAGGGAACAUAAGGAAACCGGGCAGUCUCCAUCCCGCUCCCGUAGCCUGCGUGCAGCCUCUCCUUUAACACACACACAAGCACACACACACGUGUUCCGAUAGUUAAUCCACCUAGCAUCUCACACCACGUCUUUUUAACCUGAACCACCAAAUAAAAAUAAAAGAAACUGAAUGUCUUCAGCUCUGCAGCCUCCAGGGGAAAAAAGCACAUGCAACUUUACGCUCAGUUUGUCUCUGCUGUCCCCUCAGAGCUGAAGGGAGCAUCGGUGUACAUAAUCACGAUGCAUCCCGAACUACAUUUGCAAUAAAGGGCCAAAUAGCAGCCAAGUGUCUCAAAUUCGAGGAAGUGAAGAUACUCGGAAAUGUUUGGCCCCUUUCCACUGCAGGUUGAGAGUGUCAAGAAAAUAUAUUGUCAGCCUGUGAAGUGUGCACGUCAGAGAGGAGAAAGGCACGUCAUUUAAAUCUAAAUCAAACCUUUUAGAGGCAGGCCUAUGUGUAUUUUGGCAAAUCAGAAAAGCAAGCUCAAAAAGUUCAGUGAGCAAAGUCCUUGAUUAAAAAAAAAAGCUGUCUGCACGCAAUUUUUCGAAAACAGACGGAUGGCGUUAUCUUCUAUAAAGGGAAACAGCAUGACCUCUGACCUGUUUCGUUGCAUUGCGUUUCUCUCUCCUGUUACCCUUGAUGACUAAAGCGAGGAUGACUCUGUGUCGGCUGAGGAUGUGACUGAAGGGAAACGUAUGCAUCGUUUAAGGGUGAGGUAAUGGCUGCUUGUAGGUUUGUAUCAAUCUGACGCGUGAAACAACGUGUGUUAAAUAGCUCGUGCAGAAUCUGAUAUUAAGACAUCCGGAUGCAGGUGACAUUGUUUUCCCACAUCCUUCCAAAUCUCCAUGACUGUCCUGUCCGCGAGGGCCUGCGUGGAGGCAAGGCUGCAGAUUGACUUUAUUAUAGUCGGUUCGACCAAACCCUUCACGUCUUGUCUUUCUGUCUUACAGGAGAGAAACAAUGAAAAGAGGAACAGGAGCAAAUAUGGAGAAGAGAACCGCACAUAGCGAGCGAGACAACGACGGACCGACCGACCUUCCUCCACCUCGUCCUCUUCCCUAACCCGAGACAGGUAAUUGCAUGGCCGGUUAGAGGAUGACGUCAAACCCAAGUCAUUCUUUUCAAUUGCAUUUUGCGUUAGUCUCGUUAUGACCGCUCGCUGCUUGAGAACAGGAGAUUGCGCAGAGGCUUCUGGUCAUUUCUGGUCUUUUCUCUUUCUUCUUGAUUCAACCAGGCCUUUUAAUCGUUUGUGCCAACAACUGUUGUGUCGCCUCUGAAUUGAAAUACUCUCUCAGGCGUCGAUAGUUUCCGUUCUUACUGGUUUGAGUUGUCAAACAACUUAAUGUUACAGCGAAAUAAGUUCGAAUUUUAAAAAGUUAUAAUUAAAAGUCGUCCCGGUAUUUCACAUGCCGUCAUGUAAAUCCGGAUUGCUGUGAUCUAUGAAAUGACCCCGGCGACAUUUUGCAAUUGGUCACACGGAAUUUUGAAUCAUGCUUUUCUGCUGUUUUAUAGCUCACGUGAUAUUUCAGUGAUCAUAUGUCACUGUAUUUUCGGAUGAUAAUGCAGAGACGUCGCUUGCCAUUUAGUAUGUGAUUGUUAGGUCUUUCAUUUGUCAUCCCACUUGAGAGAUGUUGGAUUUAUGUAUCUGCAAAUUAUGUGAGCAGGUGCAGAGCAUGCUUGCACUGUGCGUGUGCGCGUUAGACUCUUUGGUUUCUGGCACCUGGAGCUGUAAAGUCCUCUCCCCAAUACCUGCUAUGUCACAGUGUGAGUCAUCAUAUCGUCGACAGUUCAGGCAACACCUCCACGUCACUUUACAUUUUCUUCACCCUUUUACCCCGUAUUUGUAUGACAGCAGGGGAAACGUGCAGUGAUCAGGUGCAGCAAUUCAGCCCCAAAGUAGCUGUAUUCUAAAGCAAAAAAAGCCCCACCCUGUCUAUAGAAUAGGUUUUAUUAUUGCAGCAAUGGUCAAUUUCCAUUGUGCAUCAAACAGUAGAGUAAACAUGACCGUGAAGGUCAACCUUCUCUUUUUGGAGGCAUUUCAUUGCAGCUUUUUUGCAUCUCCAUUACAUUUGUUGGUGCAUUCAGUUGCUCCUGUGCUUCUGAGACAGGAAGUGGUAAUCACAGCAGGUUUGACAAUAAUGUUGCAACAAAAUGGAGGCCGGGGGUGUUUUAGUCAUGUGUGUGCUGUGUGAAUAAAACACCUGCUGAUUUCCUACAAAAGACAGGAAUUUUGCUGUCUUUUUUAAGAUGAGUAGUGCGGCUUUCAGUAAUAAAUGAAAAAUUAGCAUUUUGAAUGCACUGCCGGCUGUAUGUCAGGUUUGAGUCCUUCUCUCGUGUUCAGUAAGGGAUUGUUCCAGAAGUUAGAGUAAAUCAUUUCCCUAAUCAAAUUACCAAAAUGAUUCCCUCUAUUUACAGUAAUGCAGAUAUUUCGAAAUGUUUUUGAGGUAGAAAGCUCUUAUAUUUCCACCUUCACCCAAAACAACUGUGGCAUAUUUACAGUGUCCUUAUUCAUCAGAAUACUGACCACUAAACACUCAACACUCGUCUCUGGGACCAUAUCUUCAGAGAGAAAGACGAUCUGAUGAAAUCUGACCAUACAGACUCUGCAAUUCUCUUUGUUUCAGUCACAUGACUUGAGGGAAGAGAAAUUCUCGCAAAACAUUGUGUGUGUAUUUUUUCCUUUGAAAUAAUUUAGAUAAUUUGCUUAGUUUGCUGUGCUUGUUGUCUACUUCCCCUGAUUUGUAUCACUUGCACGUCUUUUAUUGUGACGCUUUCGUUGUUGUUUCAUCAAAAUACUAUACACCAACUAAAAGCACAAGGAUUCGGUCAACGAUGAAACAGAGCAAACAGUUUGAGUAUUUUGAUUUGUCCUUCCUUUGUGUAGUUUGUUUGAAUGUAAAAUGUUCUAUUUGAAGAGAUGUAAGAUACUAUUGGGCUGUAUAUCAAAAGGGGUUUACAAACAUAGCUGGUGAAAUUAUACUUAUUUCUUACUGUUAAUAUUUAUUUCAAAUAAAACCAUGAUCUCAGCGAUGAUUUGAUCAUAUUAGAAAGUAUCCCUGUGUAGCCACACCCUCAUACCUUAUACCUUGGUACCAAAGAACUCCGUUGACAAACUGGAGGCUUCAAAACGACAGUCCACCAACCAAAGGGCGACAUCACAACAAAUAAAUGCACCUAUUUUAUACAGUCAACUGGUGUGGCGUAUGCUGUCGCAUCAGGACGUCCUGUGGACAGACCUACUGACUCACACACGCAGUGAGGCACACACGUGAUGGAUUAGGGAGAUAUUAAAGUAUUUAAAAAUGUAAAACUGGAUUUGCAAAACUGGAUUUUCCCUGGUGAAUGUUUCAAAUCAAUAUUUUUGAAGUGAAAAAGUUAUUGGCAAAGAAAAUGCUAAUUGGAAUCUAAAUUAACCCACCUGGAUAGUCUCCAAAAUAUUAACACAUCAAUAAAAAGUGACUCUGUAUUUACAUGUAUAUACAUCCGCUGCUUGUAAUCCUGACAGCUAAUAACUUAUUAUGGAGAUGGACAGAUGAUGAACAGUGUUUAAUAGUAUUACAUCUCUGAGAAUUUCGAUGGAUCAAAGGUCGAGGUGUGCAUUAUAUCAUAUAUGUACAAUUAUACGCAUAAAAAAACAUAUUCAAAAACAUUAGGCAGCCGAAACAAAUAGAUCAAUGGCAAAAAUCCUGCAAAUACAGAAAUGAUAACAAGUAAAAAACACAAAAGCCUCGAAAGAAAAGAAACACGUGUAUUGUGUGUACUGUUAAAACAUUUGCUCUGUCUCUGUAGCACAUUUCUUCAUCUCCUGCACAUUUAUGCUGUAUUUACUUUGUUGAAAAAAAAACAUUAAUUUUCUGAACUGCUUUUACAGAACAGACAUAAAAAUGCAUACACGCAUGCAAGAAUUGGCAAAAAGGAUAUUAAGAGGUAAAUGUUUUUUUGCAUGAAUCUACAAAAAGCCUACAUUUUACUUUCGGGUUUGGAUAUUAAAAAAAUGGGUUGGUUAGUCCACAAGAACAGGAAUAAUAAUAAAUGAUGUUCCUGUUCAAGUGGUAUUUUCCCAUUAAGUUAUAAAAUGAGACCUUUAAAAACUGGAGGACAAGCUCUGGAGUGCAGGGUUUUAGUCACAGAGCUUGACAUUUCUUCAUGAGUCUAAUGAAAAACCUGGGGCAAGUUGAGAUUUUAGUCAGUCGAGGCAACUUUCCCCCAGGCAGUUAAACAACAUCACCUGAUAUUAGUCGGCAAACCUUCAACAAUUUUUACUUGUUCAGACCCUGACAACAACAUGACCACCUUGUAAGGAGUGAUGAACGUCUUCACACUUCACACAAGGGACACAUCUUUGUCCUGACGCUGUCUCGCCUUCCCAUUCGAUGAAACUGCACACUCAUAACAUUUUGAGGAAAGUCAUUUCUUCCUGUUGUUGAUGUUGUAAAUUGAAAUACAACAAACUGUGCUGUCUCCUAAGGAGGUUUUACAUAUUCUGACUUCUUCUUGGCUUUAAUUGUGUGUCUGUGUGUGUGUGUCCUUUUGAGUCUCUGGAGGUCUUGAUCUCUUGGUGUUGAGAAACGGUACUCUCCCUGUCAGCAUUUUAAUGGCGAGGGGAGAAGAAGGUGUGAUUGUUUGUGUGUGUGUGUGGUGGCGGCAUGGUGUGGGGGGGGGGGUAUCAUCACCAGCACCACCACUCCUGGUCGUGACUCACAGCGCACAAUGGGUUUCACUCCUCUCCGAACCCUUUAUUUAUUUUUAGCUGAGCAACGUUAUAUAUGACUGUAGAACUGCAUACAAGAUGACACACAUGCACACAUACAGACACACAAAGGAAAAUAUGUGAUGCACAACAUACUUUUUUUCAUACACACAUUUUUCUUACACUAUCUCAUAUUUCUAGAGUGUUGUGUGUAUGUGUCUUGUAAUUAGUUAACAGGCUUUAUACUCUGUGUGUAUACUUUAUAGCUCAAAUCUGGCAUUAUAGCUCAAAUUUGAAGACUAACAUUGUCGUUAAAAUCCAAUCCAAGUUUGCAUAUUUGAUCUCACCAAAGAAGCAAUCACAAAUAUUAAUCUUAAACCUCCACAAAAUACCCAAUAAAAGUUGAUGCAAAGCCCAGUUCAGACUUUUAAUUGAGUUUAAUUGUUUGAAUUAGUCAAAGCUAAUAAUGAUUAUUUCUGUUUUUCUGGACAACAUUUGGGUCACCAUUAGCUGGGCGGUUGGGCUUCUGUAAACUAGCGUAUUUACCUAUGUUUCAAUUUAGUUUGGACCAGAAAACCUGCUGCUAAUGAACAUUUUAUAUUUCCUUUUUUGGGCAAACGAUUCAUCAAUUUCAUCGCUUGUGGGUUUGGUUUCAGUACCAACUCACGUAGAGAGUUUGGUUCUCUAAGUUUGAACAAUUACAUUGAAAAAUCAAUACUAUAAUACUAUAAGAUUGUUCACAAUGAUUCCCUGUGCAUUCCAGAUUAGAUGGAGAAUUGUACUAAACCCUAACCCUAUUUAGUUUUUUAAAAAUAUUUUCAAUGCUCUGAACACAAGAAACACAAUUCCAUUCACCUCGGAUGUGGGCAAGCAUGCAGGAAGAUAUGACAAACACUGAUAUUUCAAUGAAAUAAAACAAAACCUACAUCCACAUGGCUUGCGAUUUUAAUUAAAACGUCAUUGUGCUCUAGUGCUAAAUGAACCCUGCAUGUGCCACAUAUUACUGUCAUCAUUUCUCAUGCCUCCAAAUUCUUUUGUCAAACACUACAAUUCCCUGCAGGCAUCAGAGGGCUGGCCUCAAAGCUGUGCCUUUAUCCAGAUGGUCAAUUUAAAUGUUUUUCUUUAAUAAAAAGUCACGCAAACAAGCCGUGGAUAUAAAACACAUCAUAAAUAUAACAAGGGUUUCCAUCACCAAAUGUAAUAGCAGUUACGAAAUGCUCAUGUCAGACGCCCUGACACUAUGAAUUAAGGUGUGUGAGGUUAUAUAUUAAAACUGUAGUUCUAGAUUUAAAAAAAACAUUAAUAAUCUUGAAAAAGGGUGUGGGGGGGGGGUAUUUGCCGACAGCCGUGGUUACCAUGGUAACACCAAGCCCAGUUGAAUGCUACAUCCCUCUGAAAGCAGCUGCUUUGUCAGGAGCGACGGGCCUCUCAUUUUACGGUGCAGCCAAAACGCGUAGUUUUAGAGCAGAAGCAACGUGACGAGUAGUUUCCCUCACAGCGGCAGGCUCAGUGGCGCCGGUUCCUCGCUGAGUGCGGCCCGCAGCUCUUCAUCUAACAGCUUACUGUUGGUUACUGCUUCUUACCACGCUCCCAUGUGAAGUACCAAGCGGCCCACGACAAAGGAAAUGCCCAAAAUGCCCAUUGUUUUGUUUUGAAUGAGCUGUAUUUAUGCAAACAAAAACAUUGUAAUGUGUGUCUGCGUGUCCUGGAAGCACACACCAUCUUUUGUGUUAAUGCUUUUAAUGUGGAGCAACAGUGUGGCUGCAUUCAGCCGUAACAAUGUAAAAAACAUCAAAAUAUUACAAUAGAAAUUAAAGAAAGGUAAGAACAGCUCAGAUAGAUAUCGUCACGCAGGUCCAUUCGCAUCUCGCAAAUCUCUCAUAUCGCAGUCCGGCUCAAAGACUGCAACGUAGAUGGGAGACCAGACGAGUGAAAAGUAGUACACUCGUAAGUUAACGGUAUUUUACUGGCAGCAAGGACGCCAGGAAUUUACCUAUAUUUUAUGGUAUAAUACCGUAAAUGUUGUUUACACUAUGUUACCGUAAAAUGGAUUAUCGUAUGUUACCGUAAACUUGAACCAAUUUUACUGUGAAUUAACUGCAAUUUACUGGCAGUCGACGCUAGUAACUUACUGUUUUAUUUAUAGUGCCCUACCUUAAAUUACGGUAUGUUGUCGUAUAUUGGAUAACAGUUUGUUACCAUACGAUUACUGUUUUUGUGUUAUAAAUACCAGAAUGUUACCGUUAACUUAUAACCAUAUACUUUUGCAUUUAAUUCCCCACAAAUUAAAGAAAGACAACCAAACUCAUUUCGGUCAUAGUGGUUGGAGUUUAUUAGAUGCUUUGAGACAAAAAUGUUCGGCAUUUGUAACCAAGAUCAAAACAUAAAAUAUGCCGCAUGUAUACAAUAAUAAAAAAAUGAAUCAUAAAAUCAUUAGGAACAAGGUAAACUAAUAAGCAAUACGCUAUGGAACACUUUCAAUUGACCUCAGCAAACGGCUGGCGUCCUUAAUCCAGUGGCUACUGUAAAACAAACCAAAAUUAAAUAUUUAGAAACACUGUCAUUGGUAAAAUAUUAAAAUUACAAAGAUGAGCGAGACAACAAGAUGUAAGGAAGGAGAAUGUUAAUCAUGCUAAGCAAAUAACACUUACCAACGUUACUUGGAGAGACGAGGCAAUGAGAAACUCCUCUGAUGUUGAACUGACAGGUGUUCUAGAUGAACUGAGAUUACGUCUGAUAUCACGUUCAGGAGCAGUCGGUCACGAUUAACACUCAAAUCUUUUAGGCAAUGAACACUUUGAAUAAUACAAAUAUUUAUAAUCUUUACAUUCCGGCCACUGAAACGACAGCGAAGAUGGUGCAUGGGAAAGGGAGGAUGUGCUUCGCAGCAUAAGGUUGGCAGUUUGAAUCCUGGCUGCUCCCUGUGCCAAGUUGAAGUGUCCCUGAGCAAGACACUUAACUCCCAAUUACUCCACAUAAAAUUAUGUCAAACCAUGUGCGUUUUGGAUAAAAGUGACAGCUGCAUGUAUAGUAAUGUCCGGUAAGUCAAAGUCAUCAUCGUAUCUCAUGAGAUACUAUCUCAUUAUGAUGACAUACAGGACCUGUUUUUCAGUGGCUGACGUGGGCUUCCAUACAUUAACCUACAACAGAUGUAGAUGGAUUGUGAUUCACUGCACUUGUAUGUGUAUUUCCACCACUUCAUAAAUAUAUAUGUAACAUGCAGUUGAAUUACGGUAGUCUGCUAUUAUUGUAAAUUGACAGGUUUAACUGUUUAUUCAUGACAUUGGAAUGGAAAUUUAACUGUAUGUUACAGUUAUUAUGACAUACUGUAAGAUACCGUUAGAAAUGCACUGUACGUUUACAGCAAUUUGUUAUAGAGAGAUCCAUGGCCCUGUGCAGAGACUUUGUAGCUUACUGUCUGAUCCAUUUGUCUUCAUCAAUAACUUCCCCUCCUGGAUAUAUUCAAAAUAAUUUCAUGCUUUCCUUUUGCCUUCCCCACAGUAAAUGUUUUUCUCCUCACCCCAUGUCUCCUCUCCUGGUUCUAAGUUUCUGCCUCACUUGUGAUUCUCCUCUCUCCUCCUCCUCUCCCAUCUGCCUCUCCCUCUCACUCCCUCUUUGUCCUCCGCUCUCAUUCACUGCGAGCCUCUCGGGGCCCGAGGUGAGGACCGACCGACUGACUGCGACUCGGCUGAUGAGUUCUCCUUUUCCUCCUCCGUCUCCCCACCGCGGGGACUUUUCUCUGUUCUUCUCCCUCUUCUUCGUCACUGCUUUAACCUCCUCCUCUCCAACCUGUGCAUCUGCUUCCCCGCCCCCCAGUCUCUCCCAUCAUCUUGUAGGAUUAAUGUACAUCCACACGUACCCUGCGGGAGGUCUCCGUAGAGGCAGGGGAAGUUGCUGACCAAACGUGACAGAAUAGAACAUUUAAAAUGUUAAAAGAAGUUAAAAAAACUGUAGCAGGUAACUUGAGAUCGAGAGAAUAUAAAAAAUGGUAUCUGAUAAAUUGAGACGUUGUUAAUAUGAAAUGUACGUUUUUCUGGUGUGGAAAUGACAAUACUUUUAUCUAUUUGACGGUUUCUUGGUUGUUUCCUUGUCUUGGCAAGGAAAAAAAUUGCAGAGAUUAAGCCAUAACAGUGUGUGUGUGUGUGUGUGUGGAACAAGUUAUGGUGAACACAUAUUCAUCUUAAAUGAGCCACUAAAUACAUCCCAAGAAGUAGUGUUUUCCUUUUGGACGUUUGAAUUAGAGUUUAACAGAGUAAGUAGACAACGUUUGGCGUCGGGGCCAAACUGUCACAUAAGGAGAUGAGUCAGGAGCUUGUGGGUUUGAGGUUCAGGGCAGAACAGACUUUGGUUCCUUCUAUCCGAGAGGCAUUUUUCAAUUAGUGAGUUUCCUCCAGAUGCCAAAAACACAGGAACACACUGACCUGAAUUAUAUCAGCAAGAAUCAUAUUGACCUAAAACGUACCAUAUUCACCUUUUCACCGUAUUACAAAACAAAUAAA